This 441-nucleotide ribosomal RNA is filed under the name uncultured bacterium. RNAcentral describes it as "bacterial SSU rRNA". It matches the Rfam family "Bacterial small subunit ribosomal RNA", at positions 954 to 1392 of the family's 1533-position model. The record is from RNAcentral.
GCAUAACGCGAAGAACCUUACCAGGGUUUGACAUCCUUGGAAUCGGGCAGAGAUGCCUGAGUGCCCUUCGGGGAACCAAGAGACAGGUGGUGCAUGGUUGUCGUCAGCUCGUGUCGUGAGAUGUUGGGUUAAGUCCCGUAACGAGCGCAACCCUUGUCCUUAGUUACCAGCACGUUAUGGUGGGCACUCUAAGGAGACUGCCGGUGACAAACCGGAGGAAGGUGGGGAUGACGUCAAAUCAUCAUGCCCCUUAUGACCUGGGCUACACACGUGCUACAAUGGAUGGUACAAAGGGCUGCAAAACCGCGAGGUUGAGCCAAUCCCAUAAAACCAUUCUCAGUUCGGAUUGUAGGCUGCAACUCGCCUACAUGAAGCCGGAAUCGCUAGUAAUCGCGGAUCAGCAUGCCGCGGUGAAUACGUUCCCGGGUCUUGUACACACCG